GGCGUGCUAAUACAUGCAAGUCGAGCGGAUCUUCAUUAGCUUGCUUUUGAAGAUCAGCGGCGGACGGGUGAGUAACACGUGGGCAACCUGCCUGUAAGACUGGGAUAACUUCGGGAAACCGGAGCUAAUACCGGAUAAUCCUUUCCCUCUCAUGAGGGAAAGCUGAAAGACGGUUUCGGCUGUCACUUACAGAUGGGCCCGCGGCGCAUUAGCUAGUUGGUGAGGUAACGGCUCACCAAGGCAACGAUGCGUAGCCGACCUGAGAGGGUGAUCGGCCACACUGGGACUGAGACACGGCCCAGACUCCUACGGGAGGCAGCAGUAGGGAAUCUUCCGCAAUGGACGAAAGUCUGACGGAGCAACGCCGCGUGAACGAUGAAGGCCUUCGGGUCGUAAAGUUCUGUUGUCAGGGAAGAACAAGUAUCGGAGUAACUGCCGGUACCUUGACGGUACCUGACCAGAAAGCCACGGCUAACUACGUGCCAGCAGCCGCGGUAAUACGUAGGUGGCAAGCGUUGUCCGGAAUUAUUGGGCGUAAAGCGCGCGCAGGCGGUUCCUUAAGUCUGAUGUGAAAGCCCCCGGCUCAACCGGGGAGGGUCAUUGGAAACUGGGGAACUUGAGUGCAGAAGAGGAGAGCGGAAUUCCACGUGUAGCGGUGAAAUGCGUAGAGAUGUGGAGGAACACCAGUGGCGAAGGCGGCUCUCUGGUCUGUAACUGACGCUGAGGCGCGAAAGCGUGGGGAGCGAACAGGAUUAGAUACCCUGGUAGUCCACGCCGUAAACGAUGAGUGCUAAGUGUUAGAGGGUUUCCGCCCUUUAGUGCUGCAGCAAACGCAUGAAGCACUCCGCCUGGGGAGUACGGCCGCAAGGCUGAAACUCAAAGGAAUUGACGGGGGCCCGCACAAGCGGUGGAGCAUGUGGUUUAAUUCGAAGCAACGCGAAGAACCUUACCAGGUCUUGACAUCCUCUGACAACCCUAGAGAUAGGGCGUUCCCCUUUCGGGGGACAGAGUGACAGGUGGUGCAUGGGUUGUCGUCAGCUCGUGUCGGUGAGAUGUUGGGGUUAAGUCCCGCCAACGAGCGCAACACCUUGGAUCUUUAGUUUGCCAAGCAUUCAGUGUGGGGCACUCUAAAGGGUGACCUGCCGGGGU
RNAcentral lists this ribosomal RNA (1149 nucleotides) under Mesobacillus jeotgali. RNAcentral describes it as "bacterial SSU rRNA". It matches the Rfam family "Bacterial small subunit ribosomal RNA", at positions 41 to 1161 of the family's 1533-position model. The record is from RNAcentral. Lineage: Bacteria; Bacillati; Bacillota; Bacilli; Caryophanales; Bacillaceae.